GUAGGGAAUCUUCGGCAAUGGACGAAAGUCUGACCGAGCAACGCCGCGUGAGUGAAGAAGGUUUUCGGAUCGUAAAACUCUGUUGGUAGAGAAGAACGUUGGUGAGAGUGGAAAGCUCAUCAAGUGACGGUAACUACCCAGAAAGGGACGGCUAACUACGUGCCAGCAGCCGCGGUAAUACGUAGGUCCCGAGCGUUGUCCGGAUUUAUUGGGCGUAAAGCGAGCGCAGGUGGUUUAUUAAGUCUGGUGUAAAAGGCAGUGGCUCAACCAUUGUAUGCAUUGGAAACUGGUAGACUUGAGUGCAGGAGAGGAGAGUGGAAUUCCAUGUGUAGCGGUGAAAUGCGUAGAUAUAUGGAGGAACACCGGUGGCGAAAGCGGCUCUCUGGCCUGUAACUGACACUGAGGCUCGAAAGCGUGGGGAGCAAACAGGAUUAGAAACCCCGGUAGUCC
This 450-nucleotide ribosomal RNA is filed under the name uncultured bacterium. RNAcentral's name for it is "bacterial SSU rRNA". It matches the Rfam family "Bacterial small subunit ribosomal RNA", at positions 354 to 796 of the family's 1533-position model. The record is from RNAcentral.